CGUAGGGUGCGAGCGUUAAUCGGAAUUACUGGGCGUAAAGUGUGCGCAGGUGGCCGCGCAAGUCGAGUGUGAAAUCCCCGAGCUUAACUUGGGAAUUGCGCUCGAAACUACGUGGCUCGAGUGUGGCAGAGGUAGGUGGAAUUCCACGUGUAGCGGUGAAAUGCGUAGAGAUGUGGAGGAACACCGAUGGCGAAGGCAGCCUUCUGGGCCAACACUGACGCUCAUGCACGAAAGCGUGGGGAGCAAACAGGAUUAGAUACCCUGGUAGUCCACGCCCUAAACGAUGAUGACUAGUUGUUGGGGGAGUUAAAUCCCUUAGUAACGCAGCUAACGCGUGAAGUCAUCCGCCUGGGGGAGUACGGUCGCAAGAUUA
This 373-nucleotide ribosomal RNA is filed under the name uncultured organism. RNAcentral's name for it is "bacterial SSU rRNA". It matches the Rfam family "Bacterial small subunit ribosomal RNA", at positions 526 to 896 of the family's 1533-position model. The record is from RNAcentral.